Molecule: ribosomal RNA, 492 nt
Filed under: uncultured bacterium
Lineage: Bacteria
Description: partial 16S ribosomal RNA
Rfam family: Bacterial small subunit ribosomal RNA
Source: RNAcentral
AGUGAACGCUGGCGGUAGGCCUAACACAUGCAAGUCGAACGGCAGCACAGUAAGAGCUUGCUCUUACGGGUGGCGAGUGGCGGACGGGUGAGGAAUACAUCGGAAUCUACUUUUUCGUGGGGGAUAACGUAGGGAAACUUACGCUAAUACCGCAUACGACCUACGGGUGAAAGCAGGGGAUCUUCGGACCUUGCGCGAUUGAAUGAGCCGAUGUCGGAUUAGCUAGUUGGCGGGGUAAAGGCCCACCAAGGCGACGAUCCGUAGCUGGUCUGCGAGGAUGAGCAUGCACAGUGGAACUGAGACACAGACCAGGCUCCGACGGGAGGCGGAAGUAGGGAAUAUUGGACAAUGGGCGCAAGCCGGAUCCAGCCGUACCGCGUGGGUGAAGAAGGCCUUCGGGUUGUAAAGGCCUUUUGUUUGGAAAGAAAAGCAGCAGGUUUAUACCCCGCUGUUCUGACGGUACCCAAAGAAUAAGCACCGGCUAACUUCGUG